GUAUUUAUAGGCUUUGGAAUGCCUAGAAGCCCUCAAAAUUAGCCUUUUCCGAAUUGGACUCAACUUGGGCUCGGCAGUGACACGCCCUUGGCACACGCCCGUGUUCGAUUACUUCAAGCUGUGCUUGAGCCUACCAAAUUGACAUGGUUGUGUGGUUUGCCCGUGUGAGGAGGUCCAGGCUGUGUUGAUUUGGUACCUUAGCCCAUUUUCUCCAUUUUUGGCCC
RNAcentral lists this long non-coding RNA (224 nucleotides) under Gossypium barbadense (sea-island cotton). RNAcentral describes it as "long non-coding RNA (GBAR_LNC007399)". The record is from RNAcentral. Lineage: Eukaryota; Viridiplantae; Streptophyta; Magnoliopsida; Malvales; Malvaceae.